CUGCCUUCUACAGUGUUCCCUGGAGGGGUCAGUCUCUGUGGCUCUCACAGCUGUCCAGCGCUGGCUCUGUGACAGAAACGGCCAUGCUGGGAAGGGCCAAGCCUGAUCCCACCACUGGAGAGUCCCCAGGCAGGCCCCAGGGAAGGCCUCUGCUGCCACGCUCCCACCCCUCUGGCCUGUCCCCUCUCACCCUAGGACAAAGCUCCCAGCAGCAGGUGUGGCCCAGCCCUGGGCCACAGCCGGGGACAGAGAACCCUGCGGGCGCCUGCCUUUUGUCAUUGCUGGUGGAAGCCCACCUCCUUUGUGCAGGCUCCUUGGAAGACCACCAGGAACAGGGAUGGCCAGGGAGGCUGGCAGAGGGGGGCCGCCCAGCCUCUCCUACACCAUCCUCUGUCCCAGGCCACAGAGGCCUCCACCUCACACCUCCCAGAGCCUCCUGCCACCUGGGUCCUCAAAGCAAGUUUGGCAUGGUCACAGGCCCCGUCACAGGCCCUUCCACAGCAGCCUGGCUGCCCACCUGGUGGUGGGACAAAUUGGGGGGUCUCCUGGCUGUAGGAUCUUCAAUGUUACCCAUCCUGCAGGCUCCCCUGCUCCCGAAGGGUCAGACUCAAGGUGGGACCCCAGUGCACAAACCAGAUCUGUCCCUGGGUGGAGACCACCCUGCUUGGUGGCCACUAGCACACCUGCAUGUCCUGCUGGCCUCCUGUGCCUGGUGCUGCGGAAUGGCGCCCGCUGGCUGCAGGAGGGCUGUGGUCCCUCCGAAGAAUGAGCAGUCUGUGGGGCGUCAGGCAUCUCUGCAUGCAAUGACCGCUCAUAGUGAGCAGUUUGUACCAUUUCUCAAAACAGUUCCUGUGGGAAGGACCCCUGGUCCCCUGGCCUCCUAUAUUCCAGAAGAAUAGGCUUUGGAUUCUACCGUUUGGACGGGGUGUUGGCUAAGCUCCGCUUCAGAGAACAAACACGUCUCAGAUGGCUGGUUUGCAAAGGCUUCCACAGAAGAGAGCAGGCAGUGAGGCGGGACCCCCUUGGCCCACCUCACGCACCUGUUCACACAAGGCUGAGGAGCCCCAGGCCACUGGACCCUGACCGGGUGUUGGAAAAUCAUGCAAGAGAGAGGCAGCCCACCCCGAGCCGUCCCCGGAGCCAGGGCAGAGCAGCUGUGGGUAAGGAUGAGUAUGGUCACCAGGGGGUCCCCAUCUCCAGAGGGAGCAGAGGCUUGGGGGCCCAGCGGACAGGGCUUGGCAGCUGUGCCUCCAGAGAAGCCACCAUGAUGUUUUAGAAAUAAAAGGCCAAGUAAAUCCUGUUCCUUGGGUCUAGGGAAGGCACCUUAGGUACCUGCUCUUCAGGGUCACUGCCCUGAAGUGCUGGGGAUCAGUGACAGGAUUGCAAGGUGCCUUGGACUGAGCCGUGUCCCUGCAGAGUCACACGGUG
RNAcentral lists this long non-coding RNA (1428 nucleotides) under Marmota monax (woodchuck). The record is from RNAcentral. Lineage: Eukaryota; Metazoa; Chordata; Mammalia; Rodentia; Sciuridae.